This 395-nucleotide unclassified non-coding RNA is filed under the name Hevea brasiliensis (rubber tree). Lineage: Eukaryota; Viridiplantae; Streptophyta; Magnoliopsida; Malpighiales; Euphorbiaceae. The record is from RNAcentral.
CAGCCAUUGAGACUUCGAACAGUAGGCUCGUCAACAUCAUAUAGAACAGAAACGUUCGAGAUGUCUAAGUCAUCUGGUACUACCAACAGAGAAAUACUUGCAUAAAGAAGAUCGAUUGAUAUUCCAUCAAACUUGAAUUUCAUCACAGGGACAUGAGCAUCAGGAACCGGUUGCAGCUCUGAAACUUCUUCCAUUUCUGACAAAAUGUUGUGCAAUACAAAGAAGAAGUCCUCCUCCCUAUUGACAUAAGAUGGCCCAACACAUAAUGUGUCAAUGUCAGCCCCAGGACCAUGUACCCCAAGCCGAUAAGAGCCAAAUGUGAAAAUGACAGCAUUGGCCUCCUCCACCAUUUGAUCUGUGUACCCCCUCAAGCGAGUAAGCUGCUUCACCCAAUC